GAUGAGGUGGCCGAGUGGUUAUGGCGUUGGACUGCUAAUCCAAUGUGCUCUGCACACGUGGGUUCGAAUCUCAUCCUCUUCG
This 82-nucleotide transfer RNA is filed under the name Orbicella faveolata. RNAcentral describes it as "tRNA-Ser". It matches the Rfam family "tRNA". From Rfam's summary of the family: Transfer RNA (tRNA) molecules are approximately 80 nucleotides in length. Their secondary structure includes four short double-helical elements and three loops (D, anti-codon, and T loops). The record is from RNAcentral. Lineage: Eukaryota; Metazoa; Cnidaria; Anthozoa; Scleractinia; Merulinidae.